CUCUGCCUGUCAAAAAUAAAAAAUAAAAAAAAAAAAGAAGUCCCCCCUUUUAGAAAUUGGACCUACAUCUGGAGAACCCAGUUUUAGGUACAGAAAGCAAUUCCACCCCCCCCCCGGGGGGGGGUCACUGGAAGUAAUAGUAAAUGGAGAAACUGGUCUCUACCCCACAUCAUCUACCUGUUGGGAACCCAGCCUCAUGGAAAGGUCGUUGACUUAAAGGGCGCACAGCACUGUGGGGGAUUGCAGCCCUGGAUACCAUGCACCAGCGCUUCACAUGCUAUUCAUUGCCUGCGAGCUGGUGCUUUAGCUGUGCCCACAAUAAGGCCUUUCUGUUGCUCUGCCAGGCUGACAGCUUCUGCGUGGUAUGGCAUGUUUUAGGACCAGUGGAUUUCAUGGCAUUGUGCCUGCUUCCCCACCCGCUCUGUAGUAAAAUAGGUUCCUUGUACUGAUGCAGUAUGAUAUGGGACAUCAGUGGAUCCAAUAUCAUAAACAGGAAAGACAAAUCCAUACCUAGAAUAUGUGUCCAUUUCUUAUCAAUACAAAUAGCUUUCUAGGAUCAAUUGCAAGCAGCCUGUUCUUGGAGAGUCCUACAGAGUUUGCCUAGGAUACCAUGACAAAAUACUUAGCCAGAAUUUAUUUUCUUGCCAUUGUAGAAGACGUCCAAGAUCAAGGUGCUAAGUUUGGUUUCUCCAAAGGCCUCUCUUUCAUUUGCAUCUGACUACCUUCUUCAUGUGUGUGCAUAACCCCUGGUAUCUCUCUCUCUUUUAAGAUUAUUUAUUUGAAAGGCAAAGUUACAGAGAGGCAGAGAGAGAGAGAUCUUCCAUCUGCUGGCUCACUCUCCAAAUGGCCGCAGUAGUGGAGCUGGGCCAAUUCAGAGCCAGUAGCUUCUGGAUCUCCCACCUGGGUGCAGGGGCCCAAGCACUUGGGCCAUCUUCUGUGGCUUUCCCAGGCCAUGGCAGAGAGCUGGAUCAGAUGUGGAGGAGCCAGGUCUUGAACCGGCAUCCAUAUGGGAUACUGGCACUGCAGGUGGCGGCUUUAACCACUAGGCCACAGCACCGGCCCCAAUGUGCUGUCUCUUUUUAUGUGGACACCAGUGGGAUUAGGUCAUUCACUCACCCUAUGACUUCAUUUCCCCUUAUUGACUAAUUUAAAGGCCCUAUCUCCACAGCCAGUCAUGUUAUGAGGUAGACCUGGGGUUACAGCUUCAACAUAGGCAUUUUGGAGGGGAAUAAUUCAGUCCAUCACAGAGAGUCAGUGCUGGUUGGCAAGCUGGCUAAGCUCUGACCAUGGAGAACUGGUCCCCUCACUGCUCUCUUUCAGGGUCACACAGAGUGAGGCUACUUCUUGGUCCUAGUCCCUUUCUGACUUGCAUGCUGAACCAGCACAUCUGUGAAUAAACUUGGCUUCUGUCUUUCCUGAUCCUCUGACCGUAAGGAACUUCCAUGCAGCUGCUGGCCCGAUAUGAAGCACAGGAGCUGGUGCCACAUGAAUGAAGGCACUGGGGUCCGACCUGCCUUCUCCUGUGGUUUGCGUCCUGUGGCCCCGUUCCUGAUACGUCCUGGAGGCAGAGUGGACAUAGAGAAAGGUCUUCCUUUUCCGUUGGUUCACCCCACAAUGGCCACUGCAGCCGGCGCGCCGUGCUGAUCCAAAGCCAGGAGCCAGGUGCUUCUCCUGGUCUCCCAUGCGGGUGCAGGGCCCAAGGACCUGGGCCAUCCUCCACUGCUCUCCCAGGCCACAGCAGAGAGCUGGACUGGAAAAGGAGCAACUGGGACAGAAUCUGGCGCCCCGACUGGGACUAGAACCCAGUGUGCCGGCGCCGCAGAUGGAGGAUUAGCCAAGUGAGCCACAGUGCCGGCCAGGACAUAGUUUCCUAAAAGCAUAUCACCCUCCACUGCAUGUGCUAUGACCUUUACUCCACACCCCUGGUGAGAAACACAUUAUGACCACCUUUUAGGGCUUGCUAUAAACUCCCAUGUGGAGUAUUUCCCACUAUGGAUGCCUACCAGGUUACCUGGCCCAGGUAGGAGGGAUUCUACCACUGCCUGAGCCUGCGGCAGAAACCUUCCCUGCUCUGGGCCCCAAGUCAGAAUUGACUUUUUAGGUCAUCACUAUGGCAGACAGCAGAAUUCCCAGGUGUGGAAUAUUCUGCUUCCAGAAUCAAAGAAGCCUAAAAAGCCUGGUGAAAAGCCUACGGAAGCCUGGUGUUUCCUUCUUCCUGGUGGAAAUUGCAAGGGACAAUCAUGUACUUUCCUAUUGUUUUUGCAGAAAUUGCCAGCAUGUCCCAGACCCUAAACGUCUACACAAAUGAUGGACCUCUGGAGCACCUGUAUCUUACCAUCACCCUUAAGCUAAGGACGCAUCUGAUACUUGCAGGAGCCAGAUGUCAAAUGAAGUGGAGAAAUAACGGGACCACUGCCCCAGCAUACUUUUGGUCUUGAAGCAUGCCAGUGAUUUCUGCCCCUGCUCCCAGCUGCAGGGACACUUUCAAAGGUGUGUGCUCUGCUUUCCCACUCCCGCAGGCCAAGGAACCAACAUAGGGGUUGUGCCAACAUCCCAGUAUGUCGAUUCCAGUGAAACAUUCAGGAAUCAUGGAAUUGAUCACUCAGUGGAUCCAUAAACCCAGAGACCCAGUGUGCACUGGGCCAAGGCCAAGACCCCAAGUAGCAGUUGGCCUCAUAUGUCCUCCCUCUAAUAGGUGGCCCUGGUUUCAUUUUCAACUUAGGCCCCGUUGCGUUCAGUAGUUUCCAAACUGUGAGUAUUGCCUUUUGCUAAUGGAUGGUUACCUGAAUUAAUGGCUGUGGAUUCCUUGGUGGAAGGGUGGGGUCAUCAUCCAUUGAUGUUACAACAUUCUUCCUCCUCUUAGCCUCUCCUUCAGUCAAGAGUUUCAGGGCUCAUGACUGGUUAUUGAGCUGUUACCCGAAUUAUUUUGAUUGUACAGAUUGAACAGCUCACAUGGUCACUGCUCAUCUAUUUCACCCAGGAGGUCUUUGCUCUAUGAACCAUCUUCAUAAUUGGACAAGCAAGCCCACCUCUCUGAUUUCCCACCCCCCACUUGUGGUAAUUGCAUUCACCUGGCUUCUGACUCCUAAGCACUGCCACCUGGCCUCUGUUGUUUGCCAGCCCUGGAAUAUCCUACACACUGAUACAUCCUGCCAGCUUGUUUCCACUGUUAGAACGCCCCAGUUCACCAACUGGGGAAAGUUUCACAACUUGCACAUUUAGGAACUGCUACCUCGUGCCAAGCACCACCUAUGUGAUCCAUCUGCUACCAGCACACCAGGAGGGAGAUCCGGCUCCAGAAUCCCAUCUUGGUCUUUGCUCUCCCAGGCCCCUCUAUACCGAACUGACCCACGCUAGACUCCCGCAGAAGGCAAUCUCUGAGGUGGAGAUCAGCGUGCAGAGGUAUGCCCUUGGGAUUACCACCCGGGGCCAAGGAGCGGAAGGGCAGGGCAGGAAGCAGGCCUGGGGGAGGAAAAUGUUAGAGGAGGAGAGGGAAGGGGAAGGUAGGAAGGGGAGAGGAGAGAAAUGGGGAAUGAAGGGAAAGGAACAGCUGGGGUAAGCUGACAACGGGUUACAUAUCAUAUUCAAGAAAGGCCUCAGCCAACCCCCGGAGAGCUGUAACUCGGGAUGGCCCUUGCCACUUGUCUUGCGUCAGGCAGGCGGACUUGGCCUUUAUGGUCUCAUUGAUCAGGUAUUUGAUGUCUGCUGCCACAGGAGAUGGCCACAACUUUGGGCAAGAUGAUUUCUAGUAGAGUUAAUUCCAAAGAAGGUUGACAACUAAGGGCUGUGUGCUGACAGGAUUCCCAAUAGCCAGCGGAACAAGUCCUUCAGUCCUGAAGGAGGAUCCAAUGAAACAUCACAACUUCCACUACGGCGUAAUUCCACGAUCACAUUCAAAUUUAAGAUCAAUAUAGUAAUAUCCAGGACGAAGCACACUUGCAGGUUUUGCCCUUGUGCCCAAAUGCAUGUUAUACCUUUUUUAAAAUUUUUUUAUUUAGUAAAUAUAAAUUUCCAAAUUGGAAAUUUAUACCAUUAUUUUUAAAGAUUUAUUUAUUUGAGAGGCAAAGUUACAGACAGAGGGAGAAACAGAGAGAAGGCUUUCAUCUGCUGGUUCACUCCCCAGAAGGCUGCAACGGCCGGUGCUGGGCUACUCCAAAGCCGGGAGCCAGGAGCCUCCUCCAGGCCUCCGAUGGCGGUACAGAGGCCCAAGCACUUGGGCCAUCUUGCACUGCUUUCCCAGGAUAAUUAGGGAGCUGGAUCGGGAGUAGAGCAGCCAGUACUGGAACCGGCGGCCAUAUGGGAUGCCACUGCCACAGGCAGAGGCUUAAUCUAGUAUGUCACAGCGCUAGCCCCAUUUUAUAGCUAUUUUUAUUUUUAAAUUCAGCACCAAAUCAAGAAUCACUCAUUGCACUUAGUUGCCAUGUCUUUCUCUUCAGCCUUUUUGAAUUAGAUCAGCCCUCUGGUUGUAUUUUUGUUUAUGACUAUUGUUGUUUGGUAUUCAUGACACAUUUUGCAAAGGCCAGGAGAAAUGUCUCACAGUCUUUGUCUAAUUGUUUUCUCACUUGAUUAGGUUUGGCGAGAAUAUGAGUACUCCCACACAGGUCAAUUGUACCUGCUGCUGUCACACAUCAGAAAGUCAGGUUGUCCCUUAUUGGUGACACCGUUUGAUCUGGUAGCUGCCAGAGCUCUCCACUGUAAAGUCGCCCUUUCUUAUUUUGAAUUAACGAAGUAAUCUGUAAAGUGGUAUUCUGAGAUGAUUUGAAAAACCUGCUUCUCCCCACCUUCCACCCCAGUGGUUUUAUUGGCAUCCGUUUCUGAUCUGUUGCUACAUGAACGCCUGCACUGGUGAUUACAAAGUGAUUUGUCCAGUUCUGUCAUUUCCCUUGCAUGCAUGAGCAGGCAUUCUUCUGUAAAGAAGGUGUCCUCCUCCUUUUCUGGUAUCAUUACGUGGUCAGAGUCUCUUUUUUGGUAGGGGGGAGGUGUUGAAGUGUUACAGUUUAUAACCAUCUCAUGAUUCUCUCCAUCCUUAAAUUCUCUUGGAUUUGCCCAGGAGAAGCCCUUUCAAGCAGCUGUGCUAUUCUUGUACUGUGACACUGUCAGUCAUUGACCUCUUCCUUACUUGUGUUCCAAGAUUUUCUAGGCUCACCUUGUGCUGUUUUCCCUGCCCUAGAUUUGGGCAAGUUGACCUUCAUUACUGCAGGGGUAUCAUUGCAUUAGGGGCCUUGGAGUGGACAAACCCAGCAAAUACAUGUAUUUUAAAGUCAGACUUUAAAAUAAAUAAAUCUUUUCUAAAAAAGUCAUAAAGUGUAUUUUAAGUACACACUGAUGCCUUUGUUGCAAAUGUAAAACUAUGUAUUCCUUUCCUACUCUCAUUAUUUUUGUCUCCAUUUGCUUUUCCCUCAAAGUGAGAACUGUGGCUUCAGUAAUAUCACAAAUUUGUUUUGCCCUGCAAUACCUCUGCCUGUUUGUUCUCUGUUCAUGAUUCAUCCCAGUGGUUGUAAUCGUUAGUUAUCUGCAGAUGACUGCUUGCUGCAACACUCUGGCAUUUUCCCUGAGCGUCAUGCUAGCGUAACUACACCUAAUGAUUAAUGUCUGGCUGGAUGUCCCAUAUAAAACUCUAGUUGAAUAUGUUUGAUGUGAGUAUCCAAAACUACACUCAUCAUUCGCUCUCUAUUUUUUGAUGUCUACUUCAGGGAAGGAGGAACUGUGUUCCUCUGUCACUGAUAAAUGCCCAGUUUAUAGGUUCAGUACCUAGCAGGUAGUCAGGACUCAGUGAAUAAAUGCCUUUUAGAACAAUUCACCUUGCCAUAGUGCAUAUAACAGAUUACUUUGUGAAUACACAAAAACACCCACCACACUGAAUCAUACGCUUUAAAAGUGUAAAUCUUAUGGCAUGUGCAUUAUACCUCAUCAUGCUGCUAUUUUUAAAAAGAGGACUGACUGGAUGUGAGAAUGUGGAGGCAAGGGAGAAAGAACUUUUUGCAAGGACUGCAGCAAUAGAAAUGGAAUAGCUGCUUUCCAUAAGAGCACUGAGUAGAACUAUCUGUAGCAACUUAGUAGGACAUAGAUCUGAGACUGAAAUUUCUUCUUGAGAGCAGAGCACAAAUCCUUAUGAUACUCAGUCAAGGAUGAAAAGAACCAGAGUAAUGUGGCAAAGCUGAGCACUAGUUUAGAGAUCAGAGUUAGCACAAGAGUUACAGCUGGGGAUGAGUGGAUGCAGUGCCAACAAGGAUGCCACUUUUUAUUGUGUGAGCUCCACGAUUGCAUGAUUUUUAAUCUUAAAGAGCUUUCUUUUUUUUUCUUUUUGAUUUUUAUUUAAUGAAUACAAAUU
Long non-coding RNA from Lepus europaeus (European hare), 6331 nucleotides. RefSeq lists it as uncharacterized. The transcript is spliced from 3 exons. The record is from RefSeq and is a predicted model, not a curated record. NCBI's taxonomy places the organism in Eukaryota, Metazoa, Chordata, Mammalia, Lagomorpha, Leporidae.